This 274-nucleotide ribosomal RNA is filed under the name uncultured bacterium. RNAcentral's name for it is "partial 16S ribosomal RNA". It matches the Rfam family "Bacterial small subunit ribosomal RNA", at positions 523 to 796 of the family's 1533-position model. The record is from RNAcentral.
AUACGGAGGGCGCAAGCGUUGUUCGGAAUCAUUGGGCGUAAAGCGCGUGUAGGUGGCUUGGAAAGUUGGGCGUGAAAGCCCGGGGCCCAACCCCGGAAUUGCACUCAAAACUCCCUCGCUAGAGUCCCGGAGAGGAAGGCGGAAUUCCCGGUGUAGAGGUGAAAUUCGUAGAUAUCGGGAGGAACACCAGUGGCGAAGGCGGCCUUCUGGACGGUGACUGACACUGAGACGCGAAAGCGUGGGUAGCAAACAGGAUUAGAAACCCUUGUAGUCC